AACGCGAAGAACCUUACCAGGUCUUGACAUCCCCAUGACCUCUCUAGAGAUAGAGAUUUCCCUUCGGGGACAUGGGUGACAGGUGGUGCAUGGUUGUCGUCAGCUCGUGUCGUGAGAUGUUGGGUUAAGUCCCGCAACGAGCGCAACCCUUGAUCUUAGUUGCCAGCAUUUAGUUGGGCACUCUAAGGUGACUGCCGGUGACAAACCGGAGGAAGGUGGGGAUGACGUCAAAUCAUCAUGCCCCUUAUGACCUGGGCUACACACGUGCUACAAUGGAUGGUACAAAGAGCAGCGAAACCGCGAGGUCGAGCCAAUCUCAUAAAGCCAUUCUCAGUUCGGAUUGUAGGCUGCAACUCGCCUACAUGAAGCCGGAAUUGCUAGUAAUCGCGGAUCAGCAUGCCGCGGUGAAUACGUUCCCGGGCCUUGUACACACCG
This 435-nucleotide ribosomal RNA is filed under the name uncultured bacterium. RNAcentral's name for it is "bacterial SSU rRNA". It matches the Rfam family "Bacterial small subunit ribosomal RNA", at positions 958 to 1392 of the family's 1533-position model. The record is from RNAcentral.